ACACCCUUGAACAAUCUGUUCUUAUCAGUUUAAUAUCUGAUAUGUCCCCCAUCGGGGGACUAUACAUAUUAAAUGGAUUUUUCGAACAGGGAGUCGGAAGCGGGGCUCGGUAUUGCAGUACCUCCGAGAACGGUGCACCCUCU
Small nuclear RNA from Esox lucius (northern pike), 143 nucleotides. Its record names the gene U2. It matches the Rfam family "U2 spliceosomal RNA". From Rfam's summary of the family: U2 is a small nuclear RNA (snRNA) component of the spliceosome (involved in pre-mRNA splicing). NCBI's taxonomy places the organism in Eukaryota, Metazoa, Chordata, Actinopteri, Esociformes, Esocidae. The record is from Ensembl.